UCUCUUCUCGGCCUUUUGGCUAAGAU
RNAcentral lists this small nuclear RNA (26 nucleotides) under Cervus elaphus hippelaphus. Lineage: Eukaryota; Metazoa; Chordata; Mammalia; Artiodactyla; Cervidae. The record is from RNAcentral.